CCCUUAGAUGUUCGGGGCCGCACGCGCGCUACACUGAAGGAAUCAGCGCGUCCUUCUCCUUGUCCGAAAGGACUGGGUAACCCGCUGAACCUCCUUCGUGCUAGGGAUUGGGGCUUGUAAUUCUUCCCCAUGAACGAGGAAUUCCCAGUAAGCGCGAGUCAUAAGCUCGCGUUGAUUACGUCCCUGCCCUUUGUACACACCGCCCGUCGCUACUACCGAUUGGAUGGUUUAGUGAGAUCCUCGGAUUGGUCCCGGCGCGGCCUCUGGUCGUGCCGGAGUGCCGAAAAGAAUGUCGAACUUGAUCAUCUAGAGGAAGUAAAAGUCGUAACA
This 330-nucleotide ribosomal RNA is filed under the name uncultured eukaryote. Its description in RNAcentral is "partial 18S ribosomal RNA". It matches the Rfam family "Eukaryotic small subunit ribosomal RNA", at positions 1470 to 1796 of the family's 1831-position model. The record is from RNAcentral.